ACGCCGUAAACGAUGAAUACUAGGUGUAGGGUCGGAAGAUUCUGUGCCGCAGUUAACACAAUAAGUAUUCCACCUGGGGAGUACGGCCGCAAGGUUGAAACUCAAAGGAAUUGACGGGAGCCCGCACAAGCAGUGGAGUAUGCGGUUUAAUUCGACGCAACGCGAAGAACCUUACCAGAGCUUGACAUCCCGGUGACCGGCGGAGUAAUGUCUGCUUUCCCUUCGGGGCACCGGAGACAGGUGGUGCAUGGUUGUCGUCAGCUCGUGUCGUGAGAUGUUGGGUUAAGUCCCGCAACGAGCGCAACCCUUAUGUUCAGUUGCUACGAAAGAGCACUCUGGACAGACUGCCGUUGACAAAACGGAGGAAGGCGGGGAUGACGUCAAAUCAUCAUGCCCCUUACGCCCUGGGCCACACGCGUACUACAAUGGCGCAAACAACGAGCUGCGACCCCGCGAGGGGAAGCGAAUCUCAAAAAGGCGUCCCAGUUCAGACUGCAGGCUGCAACUCGCCUGCACGAAGUUGGAAUUGCUAGUAAUCGCGAAUCAGAAUGUCGCGGUGAAUACGUUCCCGGGCUUUGUACACACCGCCCGUCAAACCAUGAAAGUCGGGAAGACCCGAAGUCAGUGUCCUAACCGCAAGGAGGGAGCUGCCGAAGGUCGGUUCGAUGAUUGGGGUU
This 677-nucleotide ribosomal RNA is filed under the name uncultured equine intestinal eubacterium sp. DW07. RNAcentral describes it as "bacterial SSU rRNA". It matches the Rfam family "Bacterial small subunit ribosomal RNA", at positions 797 to 1482 of the family's 1533-position model. The record is from RNAcentral.